CGGCAACUAGAGAGUAUCAUGCUUUAAAGUGUAAUGAAUCGUAUCAGAUCGCUUGUUACUUCUUCAGAAAUAGAGCCUGUCAGGAUGCAUACUUGUUUAUGUCUCUAACAACAUGAGCAUGGCAAGGACAGCCAGAAAAUGCAAAAUAAAUCGCAGGGGAGAAGCUGAUGUUUUAUUACAAAAAGCAAUACCCUCCACCCAUACGGAAGCAACACAUAAACCUCUUAAAACUGCAUUUUGGGAUACUGCCUGCAAAGAAGAAAGUUAGCAUUCAGUCCUGAAAAUGGCACUUGAAUCUCCAGGCUCUGUCCUCCUUUUUUUCGUAUGGCAUUUUGAAAGGCAAUGACAGAUUGUAAAUUCAACCCAAGGUUGCUGAACCAUUCAGCAGAGUUAAGGGAGGCCUGAUGAAUUUCUUUUACAUGUCCUGCAUAAGCCUGUAUUAUGCAGUCAUUAACAACGUGAGCGAUAGUCUGAAGUUUGUUGCAAUUGCCAUAUGAUCAAUCAUUGUACCUCUGUUUAUAUGGAAAAUUUCUGCACCUCCUGUGAGUUGCUCAGAUGCUGUUGUGGGUAACCCAGUAUCCUUGAGGUAAGACACAUCCUGGCCCUAUGUUUGUGAUGCUGACAAUAAGCUUCAGCUUCAGCAAUUGUGUGUGAUUAUAGGUGUCCAGGUCUGUUUGAGAUGUUGAAGGUACUGUUAUGGAGUGACUGAUCUUUAUCAUCCAUGGUAG
This 728-nucleotide long non-coding RNA is filed under the name Anas platyrhynchos platyrhynchos (common mallard). Its description in RNAcentral is "lncRNA (ENSAPLG00000029157.1)". The record is from RNAcentral. Lineage: Eukaryota; Metazoa; Chordata; Aves; Anseriformes; Anatidae.